CCGGGGCGGCGCGCCGUGCUCGGCAGGCAGUCGCGUCACGGCGUGGGAAGCUCGCUGUCGUCCGCGACCUUGUCUGCAUGAGGUGGCAGGCCAGGGCAGGGUAGGGCGGCGCUUGCGCUGUUCCCUCUCACACGUGGCUGGCCGGGUGUCAAGUGUGCCUCCAGCCGCGCUGCGGCCUAACUAACGGAACUGGACGUGCUAGCUCGACCGGAAACGACAGCUGUGACAGUAAUCCGUGCCGGUGAACACUCGUUCGACUGCAGUGCAGAUCCAGGGCUUAGUUCUGAGAGGAGGUCGCAUUUCCUUACUGGGUCCUCUUCCCCUCAUUAUAGCUUGCCAUCAGUCAUAUUUUUAAAGUGAACAGAUGUCUACAAUUUUAAUAACAACUACAAUAAAACAUAAAAAAAUUAGUAGCUGUAAGCUGACUGAUUACAAUAAACCAUACAAAAUGU
RNAcentral lists this long non-coding RNA (452 nucleotides) under Schistocerca americana (American grasshopper). RNAcentral describes it as "uncharacterized LOC124596526". Lineage: Eukaryota; Metazoa; Arthropoda; Insecta; Orthoptera; Acrididae. The record is from RNAcentral.